This 503-nucleotide ribosomal RNA is filed under the name uncultured bacterium. Its description in RNAcentral is "bacterial SSU rRNA". It matches the Rfam family "Bacterial small subunit ribosomal RNA", at positions 24 to 518 of the family's 1533-position model. The record is from RNAcentral.
UCAGGAUGAACGCUAGCUACAGGCUUAACACAUGCAAGUCGAGGGGCAUCGAGAGGAAAGCUUGCUUCCUGUCGGCGACCGGCGCACGGGUGAGUAACGCGUAUCCAACCUUCCCCUUAGUAGGGCAUAGCCCGGCGAAAGUCGGAUUAAUACCCUAUGUUUUCCGAUGAGGACAUCUGAGCCGGAAUAAAGAUUUAUCGCUAAGGGAUGGGGAUGCGUCUGAUUAGGUAGUCGGCGGGGUAACGGCCCACCGAGCCUACGAUCAGUAGGGGUUCUGAGAGGAAGGUCCCCCACAUUGGUACUGAGACACGGACCAAACUCCUACGGGAGGCAGCAGUGAGGAAUAUUGGUCAAUGGGCGAGAGCCUGAACCAGCCAAGUAGCGUGCAGGAUGACGGCCCUAUGGGUUGUAAACUGCUUUUAUCGGGGGAUAAAGUGAGGGACGCGUCCCUUUUUGUAGGUACCCGAUGAAUAAGGACCGGCUAAUUCCGUGCCAGCAGCAGC